Molecule: ribosomal RNA, 495 nt
Filed under: Multiclavula mucida
Lineage: Eukaryota; Fungi; Basidiomycota; Agaricomycetes; Cantharellales; Hydnaceae
Description: mitochondrial SSU rRNA
Rfam family: Bacterial small subunit ribosomal RNA
Source: RNAcentral
AACGAGCUAACUGGAAGUUAUUUAAAUAUAAAAUCUUAGCUAAAGAAGAAGACAUAACUUUAGUAAUAAUGCCGUCCAACACUUGGUGCCAGCAGACUCGGUAACACCAGAGGCGUGAGCGUUAAUCGUCUUAAAUGGGCGUAAAGGGUACGUAGGUUGUACUCAAUAAAUAAAAACUCUUUGAUAGUGGUAUAAGCCCUAUUGCAGUUUAUUUCUUUAUGUAAAGAGUACUAGAAUCUGAUCGGAGUAUACAGAAUACUUUAUGUAGCGGUUAAAUGCUUAGACAUACAGUAGAAAACUCAUAGCGUGAGGCAGUAUACUAUUAAAGAUUGACACUGAGGUACGAAGGCUAGGCAGAAAGAGGAUUGAGACCCUACUAUUUCCUACUGUAAACGAUGAAUGCCAAGUGUUAUUAAUUGUAAAUAGUGCUGAAGUGAAUUACGAUAAGCAUUCCGCCUUGUUAGUACGCUGCAAAAGUGAAAACAACCAAUUAGA